Molecule: ribosomal RNA, 468 nt
Filed under: uncultured bacterium
Lineage: Bacteria
Description: partial 16S ribosomal RNA
Rfam family: Bacterial small subunit ribosomal RNA
Source: RNAcentral
GACGAACGCUGGCGGCGUGCUUAACACAUGCAAGUCGAACGGAAAGGCCCUGCUUUUGUGGGGUGCUCGAGUGGCGAACGGGUGAGUAACACGUGAGUAACCUGCCCUUGACUUUGGGAUAACUUCAGGAAACUGGGGCUAAUACCGGAUAGGAGCUCCUGCUGCAUGGUGGGGGUUGGAAAGUUUCGGCGGUUGGGGAUGGUCUCGCGGCUUAUCAGCUUGUUUGUGGGGUAGUGACUUACCAAGGCUUUGACGGGUAGCCGGCCUGAGAGGGUGACCGGCCACAUGGGGACUGAGAUACGGCCCAGACUCCUACGGGAGGCAGCAGUGGGGAAUAUUGCAGAGUGGGCGGAAGCCUGAUGCAGCAGCGCCGCGUGCGGGAUGACGGCCUUCGGGUUGUAAACCGCUUUCGCCUGUGACGAAGCGUGAGUGACGGUAAUGGGUAAAGAAGCACCGGCUAACUACGUG